RNAcentral lists this ribosomal RNA (558 nucleotides) under uncultured bacterium. Its description in RNAcentral is "partial 16S ribosomal RNA". It matches the Rfam family "Bacterial small subunit ribosomal RNA", at positions 355 to 905 of the family's 1533-position model. The record is from RNAcentral.
UGGGGAAUUUUGGACAAUGGGCGAAAGCCUGAUCCAGCAAUGCCGCGUGUGUGAAGAAGGCCUUCGGGUUGUAAAGCACUUUUGUCCGGAAAGAAAUCCUUGGCUCUAAUACAGUCGGGGAUGACGGUACCGGAAGAAUAAGCACCGGCUAACUACGUGCCAGCAGCCGCGGUAAUACGUAGGGUGCAAGCGUUAAUCGGAAUUACUGGGCGUAAAGCGUGCGCAGGCGGUUUGCUAAGACCGAUGUGAAAUCCCCGGGCUCAACCUGGGAACUGCAUUGGUGACUGGCAGGCUAGAGUAUGGCAGAGGGGGGUUAGAAUUCCACGUGUAGCAGUGAAAUGCGUAGAGAUGUGGAGAAAUACCGAUGGCGAAGGCAGCCCCCUGGGCCAAUACUGACGCUCAUGCACGAAAGCGUGGGGAGCAAACAGGAUUAGAUACCCUGGUAGUCCACGCCCUAAACGAUGUCAACUAGUUGUUGGGGAUUUCAUUUCCUUAGUAACGUAGCUAACGCGUGAAGUUGACCGCCUGGGGAGUACGGUCGCAAGAUUAAAACUCAAA